This 492-nucleotide ribosomal RNA is filed under the name uncultured bacterium. RNAcentral's name for it is "partial 16S ribosomal RNA". It matches the Rfam family "Bacterial small subunit ribosomal RNA", at positions 29 to 507 of the family's 1533-position model. The record is from RNAcentral.
AGUGAACGCUGGCGGUAGGCCUAACACAUGCAAGUCGAACGGCAGCACAGUAAGAGCUUGCUCUUACGGGUGGCGAGUGGCGGACGGGUGAGGAAUACAUCGGAAUCUACUUUUUCGUGGGGGAUAACGUAGGGAAACUUACGCUAAUACCGCAUACGACCUACGGGUGAAAGCAGGGGAUCUUCGGACCUUGCGCGAUUGAAUGAGCCGAUGUCGGAUUAGCUAGUUGGCGGGGUAAAGGCCCACCAAGGCGACGAUCCGUAGCUGGUCUGAGAGGAUGAUCAGCCCAACCUGAACUGAGACCACGUCCAGGCCCCUUAGGGAGGGCGCAGGGGGGAAUAUUUGGCAAAGGGCGGAAACCUUGUCCCAGCCAACCGCGUUGGUUGAAGAAGGCUUCCGGGUUGUAAGCCCCUUUUUUGGGAAAGAAAAGCAGCCGGGUAAUACCCCGCUGUUCCGACGGUACCCAAAGAAUAAGCACCGGCUAACUUCGUG